RNAcentral lists this transfer RNA (73 nucleotides) under Candidatus Micrarchaeota archaeon CG10_big_fil_rev_8_21_14_0_10_45_29. RNAcentral describes it as "tRNA-Pro". It matches the Rfam family "tRNA". Rfam says of the family: Transfer RNA (tRNA) molecules are approximately 80 nucleotides in length. Their secondary structure includes four short double-helical elements and three loops (D, anti-codon, and T loops). Further hydrogen bonds mediate the characteristic L-shaped molecular structure. tRNAs have two regions of fundamental functional importance: the anti-codon, which is responsible for specific mRNA codon recognition, and the 3' end, to which the tRNAs corresponding amino acid is attached (by aminoacyl-tRNA synthetases). tRNAs cope with the degeneracy of the genetic code in two manners: having more than one tRNA (with a specific anti-codon) for a particular amino acid; and 'wobble' base-pairing, i.e. permitting non-standard base-pairing at the 3rd anti-codon position. Lineage: Archaea; Nanobdellati; Microcaldota. The record is from RNAcentral.
GGGGCUGUGUGCUAACCUGGUAUGCUUCCGCGUUCGGGACGCGGCGGUCUGAGUUCAAAUCUCGGCAGCCCCA